GUGGGGAAUCUUGCACAAUGGAGGAAACUCUGAUGCAGCGACGCCGCGUGGACGACGAAGCCCUUCGGGGUGUAAAGUCCUUUCGACCGGAACGAUAAUGACGGUACCGGUGGAAGAAGCUGCGGCUAACUACGUGCCAGCAGCCGCGGUAAUACGUAGGCAGCAAGCGUUGUUCGGAAUUACUGGGCGUAAAGAGUUCGUAGGCGGUGCGGCAAGUUUGGUGUGAAAUCUCCCGGCUCAACUGGGAGGGUGCGCUAAAUACUGCCGUGCUCGAGUAUAGGAGAGGUAAGCGGAAUUCCUGGUGUAGCGGUGAAAUGCGUAGAUAUCAGGAGGAACACCUGUGGUGUAGACGGCUUACUGGACUAUAACUGACGCUGAGGAACGAAAGCGUGGGUAGCAAACAGGAUUAGAUACCCGAGUAGUCC
Molecule: ribosomal RNA, 425 nt
Filed under: uncultured bacterium
Lineage: Bacteria
Description: bacterial SSU rRNA
Rfam family: Bacterial small subunit ribosomal RNA
Source: RNAcentral